RNAcentral lists this long non-coding RNA (1810 nucleotides) under Triticum aestivum (bread wheat). Its description in RNAcentral is "long non-coding RNA (TAES_LNC003922)". The record is from RNAcentral. Lineage: Eukaryota; Viridiplantae; Streptophyta; Magnoliopsida; Poales; Poaceae.
CAGGCUGGUAAACCAAUAUAUAUAUGUUACACAGGAUGCAAAGGUCCAUACCAUGAAAGUUCAUUACAUGUCAUUGAUGCAUUUCCUAUAAUAUGUACCAUGAUACACCAAAAGCUUCAAAGUUUGGUACAACAUCAUAAUAAUAAGUUCUUUCACAUCCUUCCAAGAUAUACGUCAAAUAUACAAUGGGAAAUUAAUUCAAAUAGUCAAAAGAUGCCUUGACACUGACAUAUAAUCAAGGAAUUGUACAAAAAAAAUUACACUUAAAUAAUUCGAAUCAACAAAACAAAAGAUUCAAGAAAGAUCAACAUAGAAAACUGGGCUUUGCUCUAAAGGAUAAAGGUGCCAGAAACAUAUACAUACUGUCCAGAUCGACAGAUAUACUGAAUUUUCUCUUCUCUAAUAUGAGAUCUUCUAUGUACCAUAAUCUCCAACAGAAAUAUGGACAUAAAUAAACGCCUCUUGUCUCAGUAAAUAGAUUGAAUAGCACACACAUACUUGCAACUCGUGAUCUGCAUGACAGCACAAAAAACACAAACAAAUGAAGGCAAUGAGACCAUGAAUCAUGGGCAAGCUACUGCAUGACAACUGCAAGCAACCACAACAUCAAAUUCAGGCCAUGUAGGUUGUUGUAACACACAAUGCUAAUAGCGAGGGGAGUGACAUUUAUAGAUGAUACCGACAUCGAAGGUAAACAGAGCAACCCAACUGUUAAUUCUGUUGUUGGACAAAAACCUAAGAAAGUUGUAUCUACACAGAUUGAUUAGAAAACAAGAGAGGAACUUUAAAUAGAAGAUGUGAGAGAAUGAAGCAAAUGCCAUACUUGAAGAUCUUUGCAGAAAGAUAUUGUCCAAUUUGGGAACUACACAUGUAGCAUUGAGAAGGCGUCCAUAACUACAUCAUCAUUUAUCUAAAAUAAGGCGACAUGCUUUGUUCAACACACAUAGUUUAGUAGUAAGUACAAAAAAGAGAAAAGCAUAUGUGUAUUUUAGAGCCGGAAGGAUUGUAAGAAACAUAAGUACUAUUUGCAGAUUAUUAUUCAAAAGCUAGAAAAUAAUCUCAAGAGCUAAACAGAGUUGGUCUCACUUAGUAUCUAGGAUUAGAACCUCGGGCUUAUGACAGUGGCGGAAUCAGUCAUUCUGAUGGCACAAUUGGGCUGAAUCGAUGCACGACAACAUGUAAAAAAUUGCAAAGACUUUAGUUAUUCCCUGCUAGCUAUUACAUGUUCAUUAGAGCUAUUAGAUAUAUCAGCUGAAAGUGGAAGAUGAUGUAAAAAGAUGGGACUGAAUCAACACAAGAAAACAUGUAAAAAGUUCAGUGUUGGUCAGUCGAAUCACGUAGUACAUUAUGCUUCCACUUUCAGGUUUACAUAACUUGAAAGAUAACCUCAACUUAAAAUCUAGAACAUGACUUGUAUGAUUAGUAAAGAUUCUCAUUGGAAAACACAUGUCUCGGAAAGGUAACGUCAACUUAAUAUCAAGAACACGACUUGUAGGAUUAGUAAGGAAUCGCAUUGGAAAUCUCAGCAGACUAAUAGGAUACUUAUAUUUUCCCACCAAUAAAAGAAGUUCCUCUAGAUAAAUAAAUCAUACAACAGUGGCAAAUAAUGUAGUAACAGUUUAGUGGCAUUUCAAGACCAAUUGCAAUAACAGUAGUUUGAUAUCUUAAAUGGUAGGGCCGCAAUAAAAUAAGCUGAUUUUUAUGAUCAAGUGUAUGAUGAGAGAAAUACAGAAUGGCAUGGAUGGCUUUGGUACUCAGAUGCGGUGCUGCUUAUCCCUUUUGUUGUAGACACUUAAGACGGAAACCAUCU